This 405-nucleotide long non-coding RNA is filed under the name Ananas comosus (pineapple). Its description in RNAcentral is "long non-coding RNA (ACOM_LNC024322)". Lineage: Eukaryota; Viridiplantae; Streptophyta; Magnoliopsida; Poales; Bromeliaceae. The record is from RNAcentral.
ACGUAUCCAGAUAGGUCGUCGGUGACGCAUGAAUAAGUUGGCAGUGUCUGCUCUGUGACAGGCAACGCUUGAGGUCUGUGGACCAAUAUAGCAGUAUCAAAUUGGGUUUGAUUUUGGACUAUUUACCCUUGAGGCAUCCGUUCAGUUGAGUUUUUAUUACAAUAGUAGUUUCAUUCUUGCUCAGUUAUUAUCCUGUUUCUAUUACUACUGUAGUUGCUCUUAUAUCAUAUCAUGUUCAUAUCUGUUGUUCUAUCUCCUUUGGUUUCCGGUGAUUACAGCUUGCCUUCGUGGCUCUGUCGUACCCACUAGAAAACCAUGGUUGCGGUUUCUCACUCCCCAUUUCCCCCAGGUGACAUGGAUGAGGAGUUGGUAUUUGGGCUCGAUGGGAGGACAAUCUAGCUAGUC